GGCAGUGUGGCUUAGUGGUAGAGCGCCUACUCUUCAAGUAGGAGACGACCGUUUGAUUCGGUUCACUGCCACCA
This 74-nucleotide transfer RNA is filed under the name Tolypothrix sp. FACHB-123. Its description in RNAcentral is "tRNA-Glu". It matches the Rfam family "tRNA". Rfam says of the family: Transfer RNA (tRNA) molecules are approximately 80 nucleotides in length. Their secondary structure includes four short double-helical elements and three loops (D, anti-codon, and T loops). Lineage: Bacteria; Bacillati; Cyanobacteriota; Cyanophyceae; Nostocales; Tolypothrichaceae. The record is from RNAcentral.